GGCCCAGACUCCUACGGGAGGCAGCAGUGGGGAAUAUUGCACAAUGGGGGAAACCCUGAUGCAGCGACGCCGCGUGAGUGAAGAAGUCUUUCGGUAUGUAAAGCUCUAUCAGCAGGGAAGAAAAUGACGGUACCUGACUAAGAAGCCCCGGCUAACUACGUGCCAGCAGCCGCGGUAAUACGUAGGGGGCAAGCGUUAUCCGGAUUUACUGGGUGUAAAGGGGGCGCAGACGGCGAUGCAAGCCAGGAGUGGAAGCCCGGGGCCCAACCCCGGGACUGCGCUUGGAACUGCGUGGCUGGAGUGCAGGGGGGGCAGGCGGAAUUCCUAGUGUGGCGGUGAAAUGCGUAGAUAUUAGGAGAAACACCAGUGGCGAGGGCGGCUUACUGGGCUGUAACUGACGUUGAGGCUCGAAAGCGUGGGGAGCAAACAG
Molecule: ribosomal RNA, 430 nt
Filed under: uncultured bacterium
Lineage: Bacteria
Description: bacterial SSU rRNA
Rfam family: Bacterial small subunit ribosomal RNA
Source: RNAcentral